RNAcentral lists this ribosomal RNA (2824 nucleotides) under Oscillatoria sp. FACHB-1407. Its description in RNAcentral is "23S ribosomal RNA". It matches the Rfam family "Bacterial large subunit ribosomal RNA". The record is from RNAcentral. Lineage: Bacteria; Bacillati; Cyanobacteriota; Cyanophyceae; Oscillatoriales; Oscillatoriaceae.
GUGGUCAAGCUACAAAGGGCUGAUGGUGGAUACCUAGGCACACAGAGGCGAAGAAGGACGCGGUUACCUGCGAUAAGCUCCGGGGAGUUGGAAGCAAGCAUUGAUCCGGAGGUGUCCGAAUGGGGCAACCCAGAAUACGGCUGGUUGAAUACAUAGGCCAGUGCGAGCGAACUCAGCGAAUUGAAACAUCUUAGUAGCUGAAGGAAGAGAAAGAAAACUCGAUUCCCCUAGUAGCGGCGAGCGAAGCGGGAAGAGCCUAAACCAUAGUUUUUCAACUAUGGGGUUGUGGGACAGCGAUAUGGAAUCUAGCGGCUAGACGAAGCAGCUGAAAACUGCACCAGAGGAGGUGAAAGUCCUGUAGUCGAAAGCUUAAGGAUACUAGCUGGAUCCCGAGUAGGUUGGGGCACGUGGAAUCCCGAUUGAAUCAGCGAGGACCACCUCGUAAGGCUAAAUACUCCUGUGUGACCGAUAGUGAAUAGUACCGCGAGGGAACGGUGAAAAGAACCCCGGGAGGGGAGUGAAAUAGAACAUGAAACCAUCAGCUUACAAGCAAUCGAAGCCCGAUUAAACGGGUGACGGUGUGCCUGUUGAAGAAUGAGCCGGCGACUUAUAGGCACUGGUAGGUUAAGAGGGGAAUCUCGAAGCCAAAGCGAAAGCGAGUCUGAAUAGGGCGUUAAUCAGUGUUUAUAGACCCGAACCCCGGUGAUCUAACCAUGGGCAGGAUGAAGCUUGGGUAACACCAAGUGGAGGUCCGAACCGACUGAUGUUGAAAAAUCAGCGGAUGACCUGUGGUUAGGGGUGAAAUGCCAAUCGAACCGGGAGCUAGCUGGUUCUCCCCGAAAUGUGUUGAGGCGCAGCGGUAAUGAUUAUAUCUGGGGGGUAAAGCACUGAUUCGGUGCGGGCUGCGAGAGCGGUACCAAAUCGAGUCAAACUCUGAAUACCCAGAGGACACAUUGCCAGUGAGACGGUGGGGGAUAAGCUUCAUCGUCAAGAGGGAAACAGCCCAGACCACCAGCUAAGGUCCCCAAAUCACAACUAAGUGAUAAAGGAGGUGGAAUUGCAGAGACAACCAGGAGGUUUGCCUAGAAGCAGCCAUCCUUAAAAGAGUGCGUAAUAGCUCACUGGUCAAGCGAUUCUGCGCCGAAAAUGAACGGGGCUAAGUUGUGUACCGAAGCUGUGGGAUUUUUAAACAAAUCGGUAGGGGAGCGUUCCGUAGUAGUUAGAAGCAUUAGCGAGAGCAGGUGUGGACGAAGCGGAAGUGAGAAUGUCGGCUUGAGUAGCGAAAACAUUGGUGAGAAUCCAAUGCCCCGAAACCCUAAGGAUUCCUCCGGAAGGCUCGUCCGCGGAGGGUUAGUCGGGACCUAAGGCGAGGCCGAGAGGCGUAGUCGAUGGACAUCAGGUUAAUAUUCCUGGACUAUUGGGUGGGAGCAUUGUUGGGGACGCAUAAGAGAUAGCCAAGCCCUGAAUGGAUUGGGAGGGGGUUACGACCCCCGUUUGGUGAAGAGUAGUGCCAAGAAAAGCCAGCAAUGCGAUGAACAUUCAGUACCCGUACUAGAAACCGACACAGGUGGGAAGGUUGAGAAUACCAAGGGGCGCGAGAUAACUCUCUCUAAGGAACUCGGCAAAAUGGCCCCGUAACUUCGGGAGAAGGGGUGCCACCGAGAGGUGGUCGCAGUGAAGAGUCCCAGGCGACUGUUUACCAAAAACACAGGUCUCUGCUAACUCGUAAGAGGAUGUAUAGGGGCUGACGCCUGCCCAGUGCCGGAAGGUUAAGGAAGUCGGUCAGGGGGAAACCCUGAAGCUGGCGACCGAAGCCCCGGUGAACGGCGGCCGUAACUAUAACGGUCCUAAGGUAGCGAAAUUCCUUGUCGGGUAAGUUCCGACCCGCACGAAAGGCGUAACGAUCUGGGAGCUGUCUCGGAGAGAGGCUCGGCGAAAUAGGAUUGUCUGUGAAGAUACGGACUACCUGCACCUGGACAGAAAGACCCUAUGAAGCUUUACUGUAGCCUGGUAUUGGGUUCGGGCUUUGCUUGCGCAGGAUAGGUGGGAGACGUUGAAGCAUUCCUUGUGGGGAGUGUGGAGUCAACGGUGAGAUACCACUCUAGCAAGGCUAGAAUUCUAACCUUUACCCGUGAUCCGGGAAGGGAACAGUAUCAGGUGGGCAGUUUGACUGGGGCGGUCGCCUCCUAAAAGGUAACGGAGGCGCACAAAGGUUCCCUCAGGCUGGUUGGAAAUCAGCCGGAGAGUGUAAAGGCAUAAGGGAGCUUGACUGCAAGAGCAACAACUCGAGCAGGGUGGAAACACGGUCUUAGUGAUCCGACGGCGCUGAGUGGAAGGGCCGUCGCUCAACGGAUAAAAGUUACUCUAGGGAUAACAGGCUGAUCUCCGCCAAGAGUUCACAUCGACGCGGAGGUUUGGCACCUCGAUGUCGGCUCAUCGCAACCUGGGGCGGUAGUACGUCCCAAGGGUUGGGCUGUUCGCCCAUUAAAGCGGUACGUGAGCUGGGUUCAGAACGUCGUGAGACAGUUCGGUCCAUAUCCGGUGCAGGCGUAAGAGCAUUGAGAGGAAUCCUCCUUAGUACGAGAGGACCGGGAGGAACGCACCGCUGGUGUACCUGUUAUCGUGCCAACGGUAAACGCAGGGUAGCCAAGUGCGGAGCGGAUAACCGCUGAAAGCAUCUAAGUGGGAAGCCCACCUCAAGAUGAGUGCUCUCAUGGAGUUAAUCCAGUAAGGUCACGGGCAGAACACCCGUUGAUAGGCGUUAAGUGGAAGUUCAGUAAUGGAUGAAGCUGAGGCGUACUAACAGACCGAGGGCUUGACCUCA